RNAcentral lists this unclassified non-coding RNA (566 nucleotides) under Aspergillus creber. RNAcentral describes it as "sequence contains 18S rRNA gene, ITS1, 5.8S rRNA gene, ITS2, 28S rRNA gene". The stretch from base 198 to 351 matches the Rfam family "5.8S ribosomal RNA". Lineage: Eukaryota; Fungi; Ascomycota; Eurotiomycetes; Eurotiales; Aspergillaceae. The record is from RNAcentral.
GUAACAAGGUUUCCGUAGGUGAACCUGCGGAAGGAUCAUUACCGAGUGCGGGCUGCCUCCGGGCGCCCAACCUCCCACCCUUGACUACCUAACACUGUUGCUUCGGCGGGGAGCCCUCUCGGGGGCGAGCCGCCGGGGACUACUGAACUUCAUGCCUGAGAGUGAUGCAGUCUGAGUCUGAAUAUAAAAUCAGUCAAAACUUUCAACAAUGGAUCUCUUGGUUCCGGCAUCGAUGAAGAACGCAGCGAACUGCGAUAAGUAAUGUGAAUUGCAGAAUUCAGUGAAUCAUCGAGUCUUUGAACGCACAUUGCGCCCCCUGGCAUUCCGGGGGGCAUGCCUGUCCGAGCGUCAUUGCUGCCCAUCAAGCCCGGCUUGUGUGUUGGGUCGUCGUCCCCCCCGGGGGACGGGCCCGAAAGGCAGCGGCGGCACCGUGUCCGGUCCUCGAGCGUAUGGGGCUUUGUCACCCGCUCGAUUAGGGCCGGCCGGGCGCCAGCCGACGUCUCCAACCAUUUUUUUCAGGUUGACCUCGGAUCAGGUAGGGAUACCCGCUGAACCUAAGCAUAUCA